GAUUAGAGUUUGAUCAUGGCUCAGGACGAACGCUGGCGGCGUGCCUAAUACAUGCAAGUCGAACGAACUCUGGUAUUGAUUGGUGCUUGCAUCAUGAUUUACAUUUGAGUGAGUGGCGAACUGGUGAGUAACACGUGGGAAACCUGCCCAGAAGCGGGGGAUAACACCUGGAAACAGAUGCUAAUACCGCAUAACAACUUGGACCGCAUGGUCCGAGUUUGAAAGAUGGCUUCGGCUAUCACUUUUGGAUGGUCCCGCGGCGUAUUAGCUAGAUGGUGAGGUAACGGCUCACCAUGGCAAUGAUACGUAGCCGACCUGAGAGGGUAAUCGGCCACAUUGGGACUGAGACACGGCCCAAACUCCUACGGGAGGCAGCAGUAGGGAAUCUUCCACAAUGGACGAAAGUCUGAUGGAGCAACGCCGCGUGAGUGAAGAAGGGUUUCGGCUCGUAAAACUCUGUUGUUAAAGAAGAACAUAUCUGAGAGUAACUGUUCAGGUAUUGACGGUAUUUAACCAGAAAGCCACGGCUAACUACGUGCCAGCAGCCGCGGUAAUACGUAGGUGGCAAGCGUUGUCCGGAUUUAUUGGGCGUAAAGCGAGCGCAGGCGGUUUUUUAAGUCUGAUGUGAAAGCCUUCGGCUCAACCGAAGAAGUGCAUCGGAAACUGGGAAACUUGAGUGCAGAAGAGGACAGUGGAACUCCAUGUGUAGCGGUGAAAUGCGUAGAUAUAUGGAAGAACACCAGUGGCGAAGGCGGCUGUCUGGUCUGUAACUGACGCUGAGGCUCGAAAGUAUGGGUAGCAAACAGGAUUAGAUACCCUGGUAGUCCAUACCGUAAACGAUGAAUGCUAAGUGUUGGAGGGUUUCCGCCCUUCAGUGCUGCAGCUAACGCAUUAAGCAUUCCGCCUGGGGAGUACGGCCGCAAGGCUGAAACUCAAAGGAAUUGACGGGGGCCCGCACAAGCGGUGGAGCAUGUGGUUUAAUUCGAAGCUACGCGAAGAACCUUACCAGGUCUUGACAUACUAUGCAAAUCUAAGAGAUUAGACGUUCCCUUCGGGGACAUGGAUACAGGUGGUGCAUGGUUGUCGUCAGCUCGUGUCGUGAGAUGUUGGGUUAAGUCCCGCAACGAGCGCAACCCUUAUUAUCAGUUGCCAGCAUUAAGUUGGGCACUCUGGUGAGACUGCCGGUGACAAACCGGAGGAAGGUGGGGAUGACGUCAAAUCAUCAUGCCCCUUAUGACCUGGGCUACACACGUGCUACAAUGGAUGGUACAACGAGUUGCGAACUCGCGAGAGUAAGCUAAUCUCUUAAAGCCAUUCUCAGUUCGGAUUGUAGGCUGCAACUCGCCUACAUGAAGUCGGAAUCGCUAGUAAUCGCGGAUCAGCAUGCCGCGGUGAAUACGUUCCCGGGCCUUGUACACACCGCCCGUCACACCAUGAGAGUUUGUAACACCCAAAGUCGGUGAGGUAACCUUUUAGGAACCAGCCGCCUAAGGUGGGACAGAUGAUUAGGGUGAAGUCGUAACAAGGUAGCCAAUC
RNAcentral lists this ribosomal RNA (1536 nucleotides) under Lactiplantibacillus plantarum. RNAcentral describes it as "bacterial SSU rRNA". It matches the Rfam family "Bacterial small subunit ribosomal RNA". The record is from RNAcentral. Lineage: Bacteria; Bacillati; Bacillota; Bacilli; Lactobacillales; Lactobacillaceae.